CCUCCAGGAAGCUGAGGCGAUUAGGGGCAGUCCUCCCACUGGACCGCUACUGAAAAGAGGAAUUGCUCCAUGAAACCAAAUGGACAGAAGGGAGAUUAUGUGGAGUCUUCUAUUCCUGAGAUCAAACAAGCAGAUGUCUGCAUUAUUCAUAUAGAACCAAACUUCCACCCGGUUUCAGAGAGAGAAGAGCAAACAGGAAGGAGGAAAUAGGAAAGGGGAGGGUCAUCUGGCCAAAGACUUAAGAACUUGUGUUCAAUGUGUCUGAAGAAUUGGGGAAUUCCAGG
Mauremys mutica (yellowpond turtle) is the source of this 284-nucleotide long non-coding RNA. RefSeq lists it as uncharacterized. The transcript has 3 exons. The record is from RefSeq and is a predicted model, not a curated record. Lineage: Eukaryota; Metazoa; Chordata; Testudines; Geoemydidae.